This is a non-coding RNA of Heterocephalus glaber (naked mole-rat), 576 nucleotides long. NCBI's taxonomy places the organism in Eukaryota, Metazoa, Chordata, Mammalia, Rodentia, Bathyergidae. The record is from RefSeq and is a predicted model, not a curated record.
AGGAAGAGCACUGCCUCUUAGGACCUGGACCAAGUCACCUGGCCUCUGCAGAGAUCCCACUUUGAUGAGGGACCAAACCAAGUGCCAUUCUAAGAACUUGAGCCAGCCCCUGCCCUGGGGCUUGUGGUAGCUGCAUUCCUGCUUCAUAUCCCCACUGCACCUUGCAGAAUGGAAAGGAAAUUUGUGCCACGACCAAAAAUUGAUGAUUCUGCCAUUCAUCUAGGUGUUCAAUUGUGUUGAAACUGCUCAGAGAUUGCAUCAAAGGAAAGGGCUUUAUGUUUUGACAAACACCAGGACUUCUCUGUUAGCAACUUGGAAAUAAAUUUCUGAAAAGAGGAAGCUCUUUAGUAACUGAAAAUGAAAAUGUGCCAACACAGUUGAGAAAUGUGAACCAAGGUCUCUACUUUCAGUAAAGCCACAUUUACCACAUGGCAUGAAGAUUCAUUAUCAGGACAAAACCAAAGGAUGAAAUUUGUUCUGUGAUGACUUUUUAUUUUUCCUGGAACAACAGAAUAACAUUUAGAACUAUAUCUCCUAUGAAAUUACAGAUUCAUUUAAACUCUAAUGUGAAAAAAA